GCCGGGUGCGGGGGGUGGUGCACGCCUGUCAUCCCUGCAGCUCGGGAGGCUGAGGCAGGAGGAUCGCAAGGUGGAGGCCGGCCUCGGCCAAAGCGAGGCCCUAAGCCAGUCAGCGAGACCCUGUCUCUC
This 129-nucleotide small RNA is filed under the name Marmota monax (woodchuck). The record is from RNAcentral. Lineage: Eukaryota; Metazoa; Chordata; Mammalia; Rodentia; Sciuridae.